Jaculus jaculus (lesser Egyptian jerboa) is the source of this 107-nucleotide small nuclear RNA. The record is from Ensembl. Lineage: Eukaryota; Metazoa; Chordata; Mammalia; Rodentia; Dipodidae.
GUGCUUGCUUCAACAGCUCAUGCACUAAAAUUAGAAUGAUACAGAGAAGAUUAGCAUGGCCUCUGCUCAAGGAUGGCAUGCAAAUUUGUGAAGGUAUCUCAUCCCUG